Molecule: long non-coding RNA, 188 nt
Organism: Solea senegalensis (Senegalese sole)
Lineage: Eukaryota; Metazoa; Chordata; Actinopteri; Pleuronectiformes; Soleidae
Exons: 3
Source: RefSeq, a predicted model, not a curated record
UUUUGAGAUACAACAUCACGUUUGGAAGAAGAGAUUUGUGACUGCAAAAGUGACCAGUGCCAUCUUUCAAGAGCUCACCAUUCAUUCACGAAACUCCUGUGAAAGUGUCCUCUCCUACGGCUUCAUCGAACAAGAGUGACUGCGGGGAAAUGGAGUCAUCUGCUAGUGUCAGAUUAUUGUGAAAUGGC